AAUGAACGCUGGCGGCGUGCUUAACACAUGCAAGUCGAGCGAGAACGUCGACUUCGGUCGACUAGUAAAGCGGCGAACGGGUGAGUAACACGUGGGUAACCUGCCCUGGAGUGGGGGAUAACCUGGGGAAACUCGGGCUAAUACCGCAUACGACCUCAGCACCGCGGUGCUGAGAGGAAAGCUAGCCUAUUCUUGAAAGCUAGCGCUCUUGGAGGGGCCCGCGCCCGAUUAGCUAGUUGGUGAGGUGACGGCUCACCAAGGCUGCGAUCGGUAGCCGGCCUGAGAGGGUGAUCGGCCACACUGGGACUGAGACACGGCCCAGACUCCUACGGGAGGCAGCAGUGGGGAAUAUUGGACAAUGGGCGCAAGCCUGAUCCAGCAACGCCGCGUGGAGGACGAAGGCCUUCGGGUCGUAAACUCCUGUCAGUUGGGACGAAAAGCCGUCGGUCAAUAGCCGGCGGUCAUGACGGUACCAGCAGAGGAAGCCCCGGCUAACUCCGUGCCAGCAGCCGCCGUAAGAC
RNAcentral lists this ribosomal RNA (521 nucleotides) under uncultured bacterium. Its description in RNAcentral is "bacterial SSU rRNA". It matches the Rfam family "Bacterial small subunit ribosomal RNA", at positions 29 to 526 of the family's 1533-position model. The record is from RNAcentral.